RNAcentral lists this ribosomal RNA (489 nucleotides) under uncultured bacterium. RNAcentral's name for it is "partial 16S ribosomal RNA". It matches the Rfam family "Bacterial small subunit ribosomal RNA", at positions 30 to 506 of the family's 1533-position model. The record is from RNAcentral.
AUUGAACGCUGGCGGCAGGCCUAACACAUGCAAGUCGAACGGUAACAGGAAGAAGCUUGCUUCUUUGCUGACGAGUGGCGGACGGGUGAGUAAUGUCUGGGAAACUGCCUGAUGGAGGGGGAUAACUACUGGAAACGGUAGCUAAUACCGCAUAACGUCGCAAGACCAAAAAGGGGGACCUUCGGGCCUCUUGCCAUCGGCUGUGCCCAGAUGGGAUUAGCUAGUAGGUGGGGUAACGGCUCGCCUAGGCGACGAUCCCUAGCUGGUCUGAGAGGAUGACCAGCCACACUGGAACUGAGACACGGUCCAGACUCCUACGGGAGGCAGCAGUGGGGAAUAUUGCACAAUGGGCGAAAGCCUGAUGCAGCCAUGCCGCGUGUAUGAAGAAGGCCUUCGGGUUGUAAAGUACUUUCAGCGGGGAGGAAGGGAGUAAAGUUAAUACCUGUGCUCAUUGACGUUACCCGCAGAAGAAGCACCGGCUAACUCCGU